UGCGGAGGGUGAGAGCGUUAAUCGGAAUAACUGGGCGUAAAGGGCACGCCGGCGAGCUUUUAAGUGAGAUGUGAAAUCCCCGGGCUUAACCUGGGAAUAGCAUUUCAGACUGGGAGUCUAGAGUAGUUUAGGGAGGGGUAGAAUUCCACGUGUAGCGGUGAAAUGCGUAGAGAUGUGAGGAAUACCGAAGGCGAAGGCAGCCCCUUGGGAAUGUUCUGACGCUCAUGUGCGAAAGCGUGGGGAGCAAACAGG
RNAcentral lists this ribosomal RNA (252 nucleotides) under uncultured bacterium. Its description in RNAcentral is "partial 16S ribosomal RNA". It matches the Rfam family "Bacterial small subunit ribosomal RNA", at positions 524 to 776 of the family's 1533-position model. The record is from RNAcentral.